Molecule: transfer RNA, 71 nt
Filed under: Pseudonocardiales bacterium
Lineage: Bacteria; Bacillati; Actinomycetota; Actinomycetes; Pseudonocardiales
Description: tRNA-Ala
Source: RNAcentral
GGGGCCGUUGAACCCGGAACACCCCGCUGGCAGUGUGGGGGUCAGGGGUUCGAGUCCCCUCAGCUCCACCC